Molecule: ribosomal RNA, 253 nt
Filed under: uncultured bacterium
Lineage: Bacteria
Description: partial 16S ribosomal RNA
Rfam family: Bacterial small subunit ribosomal RNA
Source: RNAcentral
UACGGAGGGUGCAAGCGUUAAUCGGAAUUACUGGGCGUAAAGCGCAUGCAGGUGGUUUGUUAAGUCAGAUGUGAAAGCCCUGGGCUCAACCUAGGAGUUGCAUUUGAAACUAACAAGCUAGAGUACUGUAGAGGGGGGUAGAAUUUCAGAUGUAGCGGUGAAAUGCGUAGAGAUCUGAAGGAAUACCGGUGGCGAAGGCGGCCCCCUGGACAGAUACUGACACUCAGAUGCGAAAGCGUGGGGAGCAAACAGG